AAGACCUGACACCUGCCGAGCAGGGGAGAAGGCACCCAGUAAUUGGGUUAGCAGCCAGCCAUGCAGAGGAGACUGGGGGCUCUGCUGGGGCUUCUGUGGGUGCAGCUUUGCUGGGUGAGAGGGCAGCAGGUGGAGCAGAGUCCUUCAGCCCUGAGGCUCCAGGAGGGAACCAGCCCUACUCUGAGGUGCAAUUUUUCCACCACCAUAGACAGGGUGCAGUGGUUCCUACAGAAUCCUGGGGGUGGCCUCAUCAAUCUGCUUUACCUGACUUCAGGGACAAAGCAGGAGGGAAGGUUAAAGGCAACAAUGAAUUUUCAGGAGCGCUACAGCACCCUGCACAUCUCCACCUCCCAGCUGGAAGACUCAGGCACCUACCUCUGUGCAGCAGAGGCACAGUGCACCUAG
This is a non-coding RNA of Marmota monax (woodchuck), 405 nucleotides long. The record is from the annotation of a RefSeq genome assembly. NCBI's taxonomy places the organism in Eukaryota, Metazoa, Chordata, Mammalia, Rodentia, Sciuridae.